This 612-nucleotide ribosomal RNA is filed under the name Triticum aestivum (bread wheat). RNAcentral's name for it is "partial small subunit ribosomal RNA". The record is from RNAcentral. Lineage: Eukaryota; Viridiplantae; Streptophyta; Magnoliopsida; Poales; Poaceae.
AUGGAAGGCACAAUUCCAAAUUUCCAAGUACAACUCUUCAAGAACAGGAUCUCUGAAGGAACAACAAUUUACAAGCUUGGCGCUUACCAGGUUCAAUAUGCUAGGGAAAGAUACAAAACUGUAGAUCGUCCAUGGAGAGUAGUGUUUGCCCAAAAAACUACCGUGGAACCAAUUGUGCCUCAGCCACCAAACUUUCCCAAGUAUGGAUAUACCACCUACAAUGUACACAGUACCAAAGCUGCAUUAAACAAAUUGUUUUGUUGUCAGUUACCAGCAUCGCAAGAAUAUUUGCGCCGAGCGGCGGAUCGAUUGACCAGAUAUGAGAAAAUCACAUCACAAAUAAUGCCCGCCGUUGUGAUGUUUUGGGGAAAAUUAGCAGAUGCCCUUGAUGCAGACAAGCUACAACGGUGGUCUGCUCAAGAACCCAUUAUAGUUCUAUUUGUUGGCAUGCCAGUACAUGAAUUUAAUGUAAGAAACUUGACCUUCAAGUCCUGUCUGGCAACUCGAUGGUACAUAAAUCCAACUAUUUCUGAAGCGGCAGCUAUUCUAGGAAGAUCUACUGCAAGAUCCCAUCAAAUUGAGAUAAGCACCGGCUCACAGGGUCAUCGCUAG